This 647-nucleotide ribosomal RNA is filed under the name uncultured Hyphomicrobiales bacterium. Its description in RNAcentral is "bacterial SSU rRNA". It matches the Rfam family "Bacterial small subunit ribosomal RNA", at positions 106 to 788 of the family's 1533-position model. Lineage: Bacteria; Pseudomonadati; Pseudomonadota; Alphaproteobacteria; Hyphomicrobiales. The record is from RNAcentral.
GUGAGUAAUGUAUAGGAAUCUACCUAGUAGUACGGAAUAAUUGUUGGAAACGGCAACUAAUACCGUAUACGCCCUACGGGGGAAAAAUUUAUUGCUAUUAGAUGAGCCUAUAUUAGAUUAGUUAGUUGGUGAGGUAAAGGCUUACCAAGACAAUGAUCUAUAGCUGAUCUGAGAGGAUGAUCAGCCACACUGGAACUGAGAUACGGUCCAGACUCCUACGGGAGGCAGCAGUGGGGAAUAUUGGACAAUGGGCGAAAGCCUGAUCCAGCCAUGCCGCAUGAGUGAAGAAGGCCUUCGGGUUGUAAAGCUCUUUUAGUGAGGAAGAUAAUGACGGUACUCACAGAAGAAGUCCUGGCUAACUCCGUGCCAGCAGCCGCGGUAAUACGGAGAGGGCUAGCGUUAUUCGGAAUCAUUGGGCGUAAAGGGCGCGUAGGCGGGUUAGUAAGUUAAAAGUGAAAUCCCAAGGCUCAACCUUGGAACUGCUUUUAAAACUGCUAGCCUAGAGAUUGAAAGAGGAUAGAGGAAUUCCUAGUGUAGAGAUGAAAUUCGUAAAUAUUANGAGGAACACCAGUGGCGAANGCGUCUAUCUGGUUCAAAUCUGACGCUGANGCGCGAAGGCGUGGGGAGCAAACAGGNUUAGAUACCCU